GAAUAUUGGACAAUGGGCGAGAGCCUGAUCCAGCCAUGCCGCGUGCAGGAAGACGGUCCUAUGGAUUGUAAACUGCUUUUGUACGGGAAGAACAAGGGGCACGUGUGCCCCUCUGACGGUACCGUAAGAAUAAGGAUCGGCUAACUCCGUGCACGCAGCCGCGGUAAUACGGAGGAUCCGAGCGUUAUCCGGAAUUAUUGGGUUUAAAGGGUCCGUAGGCGGGCCAUUAAGUCAGGGGUGAAAGUCUGCGGCUCAACCGUAGAAUUGCCUUUGAUACUGGUGGUCCUGAGUUAUGGUGAAGUGGCUAGAAUAUGUAGUGUAGCGGUGAAAUGCAUAGAUAUUACAUAGAAUACCGAUUGCGAGGGCAGGCCACUAACCAUAUACUGACGCUGAUGGACGAAAGCGUGGGUAGCGAACAGG
This 420-nucleotide ribosomal RNA is filed under the name uncultured bacterium. RNAcentral describes it as "bacterial SSU rRNA". It matches the Rfam family "Bacterial small subunit ribosomal RNA", at positions 359 to 776 of the family's 1533-position model. The record is from RNAcentral.